GGCCAAAUGGUCCCGCCGAGAGCAGAGCGUGGAGGUGGCGCGGGCGCGGCGGUGGGCCUGGGGGUCGUCACUCCUGCAGCUGGCAGCCGCCGCUCCGCGCUUCCUGCCGCAUCUCUCUUGCCCGGCGGGCGCCCAUCCCGUCCCGCCCCGGCCCGUGGACCUGCAAACCGAGGCUCAGAGCGGAUUUGCCCUAGGGGCUUUCACGAGCUUAGCAGAGGGGUUCCCGGCGGGGUUCCCUGGGGUCACGGGGCGCGAUGAGCAGCGAAGAAAGGAGGCGAGGAGCUGCGUCCGGGCUUGGUGCUCUCUGAACGCGAGGAGGCGGGAUGCGCUCGCCGGGGUCCAUGAUGUGCUCGGCGCCCGUCCCUGGGCCCGGGAAUGCGGCCGCUGGGGAACCGGGGCCAGCGAAUUCGCCCGCGAUCUCCGCGGAUCCCAGGACUGCCAGCGCUUUGGCCCUAGAUGGACGGUGGGGAAUGGGGUAGGGGGCUCCGGAACCCCUAACGUGGAUUACUUGGUGCAUAUCGCCCGGGCAUGGAAGACCCACCACCUCGUCUCCACCCGUGGAUUGAUGCCUUCUGCCGAACAGGUCGCUUACCUGGAGGUGGAACCAGAGAUUCGUGGCUGCUGUGAGUAGGUGCUUCUGACGGGGAAAGAAGGACAAGAUGAGAGGCCUGGAAGGAAGGACCGAUACAGGGCUGUUCUUCCUCGCCCACGCUUCCCACCAGGAACUUCUGUGGAGCCAGAGUUUGCCGCCAGGACCCCCACAGGACCUGGGUGAAACAGGACCAUCUCUUAAGAGGCAAGAGCUCUUGAUUUGAUUGAGGAUUCUUAUUUUGGAGAACAAAGCAACUUCCAGAUUUGAGAAGACCUACAGUUGAAGAAGACACCAUUGUCCCGGAUCCCUUGUUCUUCCUUCGCGUGGGAAAUGUUUCUUGGCGGGUUCCUGGUCUUAAGACUCCCCCACACCGGCCCCGGGGAAGCCAAGGACUUUCUGCCACACCCUUCCUCGCCCCCCACCUCCCACGUCCGCUGUGCCUUUGGACUCGGCAAUUCUUCUUGUUUGCUCCAUUAUCUUCCAGCCGGAUACAGAGUGAAUAGUUAACUACCCGCAGGUCAAUGGGGUCUUAAUUUUUGUUCCUGCUCCCUCUACAGAGGCCAGUGUCUGUGUGUUGCUAUGCAAGCGGCCUUGGAAUUGCAUCCCUUCUCAUUGAUUUGGGAUCUGGCCCCCGCAGGUUCCAGAGCAAUGCGGGUCCAGGCAGAAAUUCUUCAGGCUCUCAGGAUGUUGGAGGGGGCGCUGGCCGCGAGCUGGACCAUGAAGGCUGGCGUUCCCCACAUUCAGCUUUCUUGGGUUCGGAUCAUAAGCAGGUGUAGAUCUGGAGAAGCAGAAAAUGAACACAUUUUCUACUGACACCGAUGCACGGUCAACGGUGAAGACCUUCUCCCAGCUAGCAUUUGGGUUCUGUGUCCAAACGCGGCGCUUCAUGGCAGAGUAUCCAGCCACCAGAGUUGGUGUGUCUUGAGGACCUGAAUUCUUGAGUGUGUGCUGGUGACACAGCCCUCUGACAGUCGAUGGGGCCUCACAAAACACAAGUCCUGCCUUUUCCUUUUCACUCUGUGGCCGUCAUACAUACGGCUAAAAACAUUUCCUAGAGAUCAGUCAUGGUUCAGUCGUGUCCAAAACGCAGAGCCAAAGAUGCAUUUUCUCUUUUCACAGCAAAUGAAUGACUUGCCUUCGGAAAAAGAAUGAAAGCCAGACAUUCUGCAUCUUUCCCGUGUUGUAGAUGAUGCAUUUGGAUGACCACUUUGUGACUUUGGUGUCUUAGAAGGGAAGCAGUGGGGUCCUUGGCAUCUCAGAUUCACCACAAAACAGACGAGGAGAACUUCUGGAGGAUGGUUUGUGCUUUUGAAAUGGGAGGCUUGUUUGUGGGCUUUUACCUUCCUUCCUUGACCUGCAGACACCUCAUUGCAUUAGAUUCCUUUGGGUUUUAAGAAGCAGAGACUUGCUGAUACUGCUCCGUACGUGCUGGUUUGUUUCGAGUUGCCAUGGACGUAAAGAAGAAAGGAAGCAGCCCGCCGAGGCGCUCUCCACCUAGGCCUGCCCAAGAAGCCCAAGUCGUUCCAGAUAGCCAGGGAUAGCAGAACCGAACCACCCUGGCCAUCUUGAUCUUCUGUUUGCACCAGCAUCCACUGUUCCCAGGAUCCUACCAUGGUGAUGAGCUGAGGGUGACUCAGUUGGCCCAGGACUGAGGAGUUUCCUGGGAUGCAGGACUUUUUAGUGCUAAACCUAGGACAGUCCUAAGCAAACUGGAACAACCAGUCACCCUACUGGGUGACUCGAGGACCCUGCCUCUCUUCUACUUUCCCUGCUGUGACUGGCUGAUGCUCUUGAUGGGUCUGGCCAGUCGCCAUUCAAAACUCUUGCGUCAGGCAACUUCAUUGGCCACUGGGCUACCUAUAGAUGGGUGCCCGUGGACCCAGCACCAACCCAUCUUGACCAGAUUUGUUGUUUCCAGGGUCAUAGGGUUGCAUAAUCUAGAAUAAAAGCCUGGCUGUAAACAACCAGCUGAGACCACUUCCUUCAGAAGACUGCUGUGGACAGGUGGCCCUGGCAGGCAUUCAAGGUAAAAUGAGUGAGUCAGGCCACACGCUUCCCAAAGCCUCUGCCAGCGCUGCCAUCCACAGGGCUGCCAUAUUGGAUGCAGUUCAUGACAAAGGAUUUGCUACUUUUUGUUCUCUCUGGCUCUCCUCCUGCCUUCCCUUCAGCUUGCUCCAAGAUCAUGUGGACACACACCUCAGCAACCUCUGCCCCUCUGACCUCAUCCAAGUCACUGGCCUUGGGAGGCAGCCCAGGUGUUUCGAUUGGGCCAACUGCUGACAUUCCCUGCUGGUGACAACUUCUCCUCAAAGUAACACUGGAGAGAAGAAACUAAGAAACAGGCCUUUGAUGGGCCAGGGCAUCAGGAGAUUUCAACUAAAGCCUUGAGAGUAUCCACAUGGAUGUUUGAAGCGUGUUUCAUUCCAUUCAAAACAGUGUUUGUCCUGCAAGUCUGAGGCUCCAGUAAAGAGAAGUUAAAUCAAACCCCGGCACACCCUGAGUGCUAUAAAAUUACUCAUGAGAAACUUGUUGUCAAUUACCAGAGUAAAAUAAUAGGGCGUUUUUUCUCUCUUUAUUUAAAAUACCACUUCACAGCCAAGCAGUCAGGAGUGCCGUCAAGGGCCGGAUGUACUGCUUCCCAGCAGGGUUGGACAGGUUGCUGGGGCUCACCCAGUGGGUGGAUUUAUGGCUUAGCUGGCAUUCUGGGUGACACAAGGCCGUCUCGUGAGCUGCUGCAGGAGGACAGUGCCUGUGCUUGUGACUGGCCCCAUUCCCUUCCCGAGGAGGUACCAACUGCUCGGCCCCAUGGAGGUUGUCCGCACCCCAGAAGAUUUCUGUUAUGUCCUUGACAGGCUUUCUGUGAGCCUCCUGGCAUGCCUUCCCCAUGCUGGCUGCCCAUGGCUGCUUCUUCACCGCCCAGAUGAAUGGAAAGCUCCCACAGCCCCUGGGAGGCUGCCAUAUUGAUCUCCGGGGGGAAGCACGCCUUUUCCGCGCUCUCAGGAUGAAUGGGAAGAAAACAAAUGCCUUGGCAAAUGCAUUGGGGUUGGCUCGAUCCAGAUGGCAAAAGGGAGCAUCUCAAUAAAUGGUCAUAUUAUAACAUUUAUCAACACCCUUGAGUCACUGGUUCUUAACUACCAAGACGCAUUAGCUAAGUUAUGGUCUUGGCUCUUUUAAGAACUAGCUUUUGGAGUUAUUUUACUUCUUGGGUCUUAAUGGUCUGAGAUGAAUGCUAUCAACACUUACAAAGUAUCCUCAGGCACUGAGUACUUUUAUUCAUAUUCUGCAAGCGUGAUGCUGACAAUAAUCCUGCGUGAUGAUCAGGAUCAUUUAUGGUAUACACAACAGGAACACUGGGUUCAGAGAGACUUUCAGUGAGUCACCCCGGAUUGCACAGUGAGUGAAAGAGUCAGGAAUUCAACCCAAGUCUCUGACUCCAAAUUUUGUGCCCUUCUCGAUCAUCAUAGUGAAAUUGCACUUGGCAAUCAGCAGGUCCUACCAGCUUUUAACAUCAUCUGACUGUAGGAUUCAAUGCCUGCUUGGAGGCUGUCUUCUACACACGGCAAUUGUGGAAUUUAGAAUUGAGAGCCUUUGGAGGGUAUCGCAGCCUCUUAUGCAGAUAAGAAAUGGAGUCACAGUUCCCUCUUGUAAUGCGUUCCUGGAUCAUUCAGCUUCUUUUUACAUCAGUCUUGCUAUUGAUAAGACAUCUUUUCUGGCAACUUUCCUCUACUCUCUUCUGCUACAGCUCAAGACAAAACUAUAAUUCACAAAGACACAUGCACUCCUGUGUUCAGUGUAGCACUAUUCACGAUAUCCAAGACAUGGAAACAACCUAAAUGUCCAUCAACAGAUGAAUCGAUAAAGAUGUGGUACAUAUAUACAAUGGAAUACUACUCAGCCAUAAAAAAGAAUGAAAUAGUGCCCUUCACAGCAACAUGGAUAUGACUAGAGAUCAUCACACCAAGUGAAAUAAGUCAGAUAGAGAAAGGCAAAUACCAAAUGAUGUCACGUCUAUGUGGAAUCUAAAACAUGGCACAAAUGAACCUAUGUACAAAACAGAAACAGACUCAUAGCCAUAGAGAACAGACUUGUGGUUGCCGAAAGGGGGGGUGGUUGGGAUGGACUGGGUGUUUGGGGGUCAGAAGAUGCAAACUAUUACAUUUAGGAUGGAUAAGCAAUGGGGUCAUACUGUGUAGCACAGAGAACUAUAUCCAGUCUCUUAGGAUAGAAUAUGAUGGAAGAUAAUAUAAGAAGAGGUAUAUAUAUAUAUGGAUGACUGGGUCACUUUGCUGUACAGCAGAAAUUGGCACAACAUUGUAAAUCAACUGUACUUGAAUAAAAAAAUCAUUCAUGUAAAAACUGUUAUUUCCUUUUACCCUUUGGAGCUGAGUUAUACAGAUCAUUAGCCCAGUAAAUGCCAUCUAUUUUUGAUCAAGGGCUGGAAUGCAGAGACUUCAACAGAUUUUCCCGCCUUUGAUAAGACUUGCUUUCCUCACACAUGCUUUCUACCUGAAUGCCACAUCCCCGCCUCCCCGCCACCGGCAAGGCAGCUGAACUCUCCAGGUCACACUGUGACAUGGCCACCCCACCGUCGUAUUCGCUUGGCUGCAUGCGAUGGCUUGAGUUCCCUUCUUCCCCACUUUCUGACUCUCCCCUCAACCUCUCUGAGUUGGCCUGCUUUUCAUCUCCCAUUUCGCCUCUUUAACUUUCCCUCUUCCUGUCUUGGUGUCACUUCUCAAGCCUGCGUGCUGAGAAGAAACGUGAAAAAGGGAAAGAGUCUGAAAUCCGAUGCCCCGCUAACCUGUCUAAUCCUGUUCCCGGGUUCAGCUGCGCCGCUGAGCAAUAACCACGGGAGGGGAAAGGGGAAGAGGGGGAGACGGGCACCCUCGCUCCCUCAUUCGUUCUGACAAACGCCUGUCAACACUGACAAGGCUGCCUUAGGGUCGAGAGGCCAAAGCAGUUCUAGAUGGAGACUUCUGCCAGUCUAGCUUAAGAAAAGGCCUUCUCCUCUUUGGAAAUGGCAUGGCCAAGGUGGCAUGAGCUAACCAGAACCUUAUAUUUGAGGGGGAGAGGAAGAAGUCAUUUCAAUGACAUAGAUCUCAAUCCUGGACGAAGCUUCAGUGAGUUGACAUGACUGUGAAAAUGUCACUUAACCUUUGCCGUCUGCUAAGUCACUGGAAACCUACAGGUCAGAACGUCCUCACGAUGCAUCUCAGAGGCUCUGCAGUGAACAAGUUAGGGAUGGGAAUGGGCUUUGAACUAAGACACACAUCAUAUGAAGGUGUGGGGUAGUGCCUUGCCUUGCACGCGUCACUUUUUUGUCGGUGGAGUUUUUCCAGGGUGAGUAUCUGGUUCCCAUGGACUUUCCCCAUAUUCUUUUAUGAUUGGUUGAAAAUAUCCAACCACUUUGGAUUUAUUUUGCCCACUGUGUGUAACCUAUUCAUAUCUGUUUCCAGGCGUGGGAAUGGUCCGUCACUCACUGGCCACAGGGACUAUUUGAAUGAUUUGGUCAGCUAAGUGAGCAUCCAUUUACUUUGAAUUUUAAUGUUUAAAUUUCAUUUAUUUAUUUUAACUUUCUUUUUCUUUGUUUUUGGCUGUGCUCUCAGCAUGUGGACGUUCCUGGGCCAGGGAUGGAACACACACCACAGCAGUGACCCAAGCCACAGCCGUGGCAAUGCUAGGUCCUUAAGCCCUUGAGCCACCAGGAAGCUCCCCCCAUUUUUUAAAGAACACACACCCCUCCCACACCUGUGAGCUCAGCUGAGCCAAUUUCCCCAUCACGUUAUGUGAGUAGCUGACCUCCCCGGUUAAAACCCUCAUCUCUGGCUUGCUGUCAUUUUGUAGCAGAUAACACAUAUCACACAAUACGGGAAGCUUCCGGGGCUCUUUCAGUUAUUAGCUUUACUUAUGUUUCAUCUCAUCAUGAGGAGGAGCUCAAGGUAAGCUGUGUUUGUGGAAAGAAGAUCCCGGAAACCACCUCUCCAUGAUCGGUUCGCAGUAAGGCAAACCGAGCGAAGAUUAGGUCACCAACACUGUCUAAUUGUAACUGUUAUUAUCCACCCCAAGGAGCACAUUUCAUCCAGUCCUAAUAUACUCUCGUUAUAUAAGUAAAUCUCUGGAAUCAAAUACAUUUUAGUACAAUAAUUCCCGAAUUAUUGUUUUCAAAAGAAACAAGAUCUAAGCUGUGUGAUUAGGAGGGGUGUGUUUUCCUCCUCCAAGACCAGAUGGGACGCCUCUAAGACAAUAAUAGCAGUGCCGGGCGUGAUGAGAAGGGCUUGCUUCUUAGCUAGCUUGUAAGCACAUCAGCUUCGGCCUCUUCGCGGUGUAAUGUGAACUUGAACUCCCUCCUUCUUCUCAACACUUGGGACUCAUUUCCUUCCGUUUCCAACCAUGCAGACAAGCUAGUUCCUCCAGGUGCAUCUAGUCCAAUGCUAAAUUUGCAAGACCUAAGGAGGGAGUGAGGGAAAGGGUGGGUUUCUUGAGAAAAAAUGGGAAAACGGACAGGUUAGCAAGGAGGAGCAUCCGCGUGGGACCUCUGCUUCCCUGAGUUCUGGAAUACCUCUUCCUCUUGGUGCGGUACAAGGAAACAAGGAAGGUGAAGUUCCCCUGUGUUGCCUUUUGGGCUCUUCCUGACCCUCUGUGAACCGAAGGGGAUGGUGGUUUAGGUGGUUUGGGGGAAGACCAGAGAGGCCGAAGGAAGAUGUUGAGUUUUGGCCACAUGGAUUACAAUCCUGGACUCACCCUCAACCAGGGCCCUGGACAAGAAGGGAUGUUUGCUUCCCAUCACCCCGGGGAUUGCUCCAACAGACAUGGGGCUGGGAAAGCACCCACGGGCACCCACGGGCACACCUGUGGAUCAGAGGCCAAGUCUCCUCAGUGAAGCAGCAGCUGUGGAGGGGCCUGCGGACAGCAGGGGCUGAGACAAUUGCCUGGACAUAGGAGACACGUUAAAACAAAUUCCAGGAUCACUUCCUCACCUCACUGGUCAGCAAGGAAAACACCUGUUGAGAAAGAACCAAGUGCCAUACGCCAUUCGUGUAUGCGGUUCCAUACCGAAUCCUUCACAUUCAGUUCAUGGUCCUCUCUCAUCGCCUCGUUUUUUCCCCCCCUUCCCAAUGGCAUAAAUGUGAGCCAAAGCAGCUCUAAGCAGUUAGUUGCCCUGGCAAAAGGGAGCCUAUUUAGCUCAUCUCCAAAUGAAAUACAAGGACCUCUGCGGACACACUGUGAUAGUGAAUUCUCGUCAGGUGGAUAAUCAGGAGUAGGCUUGAAUUCUCCAAGUAUGAAAGCGAGGUGUCUGUCUUGGUCGUUGGUUUCUACACGGUUCAGGCAACAUUUGCUAAGAAAUCAGAGGCGACGGUGACAGAUGCCUUUUGCCUUUUCCAUGCGUCUUCUGAGCUCUGCUGGAGUCGUUAGCUGGGCUUGCUGGCUUCUCCCAGGGUUUUCUUCUUCAUCUUGGAGGAUGGGGCAGGUUGAGCUGGUUGCUGCCAGCUUCUUGAAAGCAUUCCCAGAUGGGAAUGAAUGUUUCUGCCCGGUGGUUGGAAGAGGAAGAAUUUCUAGGGAGGAGUUCAUGUUGGGUCUAGUUCCCAUCACUAAUUAAAAUCUGCAGGUAAUGGGUUCCUAAUUUGUUGGUUCCUUUUAUCAUGUUAUUGCCUUUUGAGGACUUGGGGGAUAAGGUCAUGUUAUGAUAUAGCUCUUGGCUGUUGGGGGUGUUAGAUGCUUGGCAAUGACCUGCAGACCCACCUGCUUGGUUCUCUUUCUCUGAGCCAGUAUCCUGGAGGACAGGGUUCAGAAGGACGUUUCACGCUGGGUCCCUAACUGGUGGAAAACCAAGCCAAGCUGAACCGUGCUGCUCUUACAUUUAAGCAGAAGAGAGCCGUGGCUCACUGAGCAAUGCUUCCUUCCCCAGAAGGAAAUUCAUAAUUGGUCCCAUCGACCCUCUUGCCUGUUGGCUUUGCCAGUAGCAGGACCAGGUGGGGGAAAAAU
Long non-coding RNA from Sus scrofa (pig), 8572 nucleotides. RefSeq lists it as uncharacterized. NCBI's taxonomy places the organism in Eukaryota, Metazoa, Chordata, Mammalia, Artiodactyla, Suidae. The record is from RefSeq and is a predicted model, not a curated record.